This 504-nucleotide ribosomal RNA is filed under the name uncultured bacterium. RNAcentral describes it as "partial 16S ribosomal RNA". It matches the Rfam family "Bacterial small subunit ribosomal RNA", at positions 29 to 523 of the family's 1533-position model. The record is from RNAcentral.
AUUGAACGCUGGCGGCACGCUUAACACAUGCAAGUCGAACGGCAGCGGGGGGAGCUUGCUCCCUGCCGGCGAGUGGCGAACGGGUGAGUAACGCGUAGGGAUCUGCCUGUUAGAGGGGGAUAAGCCGUGGAAACGCGGUCUAAUACCGCAUACGCUCUAAGGAGGAAAGUAUGGGACCGAAAGGCCAUACGCUAACAGAUGAACCUGCGUUAGAUUAGCUAGUUGGUAGGGUAAAGGCCUACCAAGGCGACGAUCUAUAGCUGGUCUGAGAGGAUGACCAGCCACACUGGAACUGAGAUACGGACCAGACUCCUACGGGAGGCAGCAGUGGGGAAUAUUGGACAAUGGGGGCAACCCUGAUCCAGCGAUGCCGCGUGUGUGAGGAAGGCCUGAGGGUUGUAAAGCACUUUAGUUGGGGAGGAAAGCCUGAGGAUGAAUAAGCCUUAGGGGAGACGUUACCCAAAGAAUAAGCACCGGCUAACUCUGUGCCAGCCGCCGCCGUAA